GCGUGCGUGUGUGUGUAUGGGGUGCGCGCGCGUGUGCCCCGCGUGUGCACGGGCGUGGCGGCGGCGGGCGCGCGACCCGGCCGUGGUAAUGCGUGCCCGUUGCUCUGCGCACCCGCCCGCCCGCCGGAGCGCAGCAUCGCCUCCGGCCAAGAGUGUGCAUGCGUGGGGCAGAUGCAAAAGAGACAGCACCGAGAUGUUCAUCACAGCCUCAUGUAUCACGGAGAAAAGCUGGAAGCUACGUGCACAUCCAUCCAUGAGGGCUCAUUAAACAAGGGAUGGUACAGUCACAAGGUGGACGACUUGCUGCCGUUAGAAAGGAGGAAGCCAUCUGUAGGAGUAGAACCUGGAGCCAUCUCCCAGACACACGUGGACAGGGGUGACAGCCAUUUACAGAACGUUACGUGGGAUGUGUGCCUACAUGAGUGUGAACAGCACGGUCUCUGUGUGUACAAGAUAGUUCUGUCGGAGGAGCAGAGAGAAGCCGUGACGGGGCAGACAGAGGACUGGGAGGGCCCUGGGAUUGGAGUGUGUGUUGGUUUUCCUGCUGUAACAAAUGACCACACACUGGGGGACUGAAAGCAAUAGACAUUUAUUCUCAUACUUCUGGAAGCCAGAGGCCGAAAUCAAGGUGUCAUCCAGACCAUGCUUCCUUCGAAGGCUUAAGGGAGAAUCCUUCUUGGCCUCUUGCAGCUUCUGGUGGCUCCGGCCACCCUGAGCUUGUGGCAGCAUCACUCCCAGCUCUGCUCUCUUCUCCCCAUGUCUCUGUUUUCAAAUCCUUCUCCUUUCUCUUCUAAGGACAUUGUCAUUGGAUUUAGGACCUAUCCCAUUCCAGGAUGAUCUUAUUUUGAGAUCCUUAUUCUAAUUACAUCUGCCAAAAAACAAAAAAACAAAACCCCCUCAUUCCAAAUAAGGUCACAUUCUGAGAUUCUGGAUAGACAUGAAUUUGGGAGACACUAUUCAACCCCCCGAGUGGGGGAGGGGAAUGUGCUUUCCUACAAUAAAUCUGUGUUUAUGGA
Molecule: long non-coding RNA, 1016 nt
Organism: Camelus dromedarius (Arabian camel)
Lineage: Eukaryota; Metazoa; Chordata; Mammalia; Artiodactyla; Camelidae
Exons: 2
Source: RefSeq, a predicted model, not a curated record